UACGUAGGGUGCGAGCGUUAAUCGGAAUUACUGGGCGUAAAGCGUGCGCAGGCGGUUUUGCAAGCCAGAUGUGAAAUCCCCGGGCUUAACCUGGGAAUGGCAUUUGGGACUGCAAGGCUGGAGUGUGGCAGAGGAGACUGGAAUUCCCGGUGUAGCAGUGAAAUGCGUAGAUAUCGGGAGGAAUACCGAUGGCGAAGGCAGGUCUCUGGGCUGACACUGACGCUCAUGCACGAAAGCGUGGGGAGCAAACAGG
RNAcentral lists this ribosomal RNA (253 nucleotides) under uncultured bacterium. RNAcentral's name for it is "partial 16S ribosomal RNA". It matches the Rfam family "Bacterial small subunit ribosomal RNA", at positions 524 to 776 of the family's 1533-position model. The record is from RNAcentral.